Molecule: long non-coding RNA, 1091 nt
Filed under: Rattus norvegicus (Norway rat)
Lineage: Eukaryota; Metazoa; Chordata; Mammalia; Rodentia; Muridae
Description: long non-coding RNA NONRATT033557
Rfam family: tRNA (bases 115-183)
Source: RNAcentral
GUGUUACAUCAGAAGCUAGGCAGGUAAUAGAUCAUUUACAGGGGGUGUUGCCACUGGAGUUAUCAAGAAGAAAAAUAGACUUUUGAAAUCUAAAGACCUUGGAACUCGGGGGUUGGGGAUUUAGCUCAGUGGUAGAGCACUUGCCUAGCAAGCACAAGGCCCUGGGUUUGGUCCCCAGCUCCGAAAAAAAAAAAAAAAAAAAAAAAAGGAGACCUUGGAACUCACGCAAGGACAAGGAUGUAAUAACUCAAUGUCUUUCAGGUUAAGAUCAUCAUGCUCAUGCUUGAAUUUGGCUUGGCCUUUCAGGGAAAAAUAUCCAAGCUCUGGCGCUGUGGAAAUGAGGUUUGAAUUCUCUCCAUCACUUAUUAGUUGGAGGCCGGUCCCAACAUGGAAUAGGUUUGGCUUCUCACCCCACAAAUCAUCGCCAUGGACUUCGUGUCUAGAAACAGCUUUUUGGUGUCUGAAAGUCCAAGAGUUAGAUCCAGACCCUGCCAUAUCUCCAUGUUACCGCAGUGGCAACUUGACUGUCUUCCUAACUCCAAUCGAUGCCGCAAUGCAAUGGUGACUUCAUUACUAGAUGACUCGGAUUCAGGGAUUUGGACCCCAGAGAGCUUGAAAGUCCUAUUUAUGAAUGUGUCUCUGAGGCUGUUUCUGGAGGAUGGCCUUUGAGUCAGCAGACUGAGCAAGGAGACACCCUUGCAAAUGCUGGUGGGCACAAUCCAAUUCACAAGAGCUAAGGGAGGAUCAAAGGCAGAGGAAGAGACUCGCACUGCUUAGGUUAGACAUCUCCCCCUCUUGUGCUGGACACCGGCACUCUUGGUUCUUGGGUCUUUGAACGCACACUGGAGUUUUGUAUCCAUGUGCCCCUCAGUUCUUAUAAACUUUUGGCUGGAGCUGCAACUGUGCCUUUUGAGGACUGAGACAAGUCAGUCCCUCAUAAUCUCUCUCUAUAUGUCUGUGUACCUUACUGCUUCUGUUUCUCUGAAGAACCCCGAUUGAAAAUUUGGGAAGGAAUACUGCACUACUACUUUCCAGACUCUUUCUCUCCAUUUCUUUUAGUUUCUUAAGUAUAUCUAGUAUUUUGUGGUUGU